UAAAUUCUUUUUAUCUAUGUA
This 21-nucleotide non-coding RNA is filed under the name Caenorhabditis elegans. The record is from RNAcentral. Lineage: Eukaryota; Metazoa; Nematoda; Chromadorea; Rhabditida; Rhabditidae.